CCUACGGGAGGCAGCAGUGAGGAAUAUUGGUCAAUGGCCGGAAGGCUGAACCAGCCAAGCCGCGUGAAGGACGAAGGUGCCAAGCAUUGUAAACUUCUUUUGUCAAGGGACAAAAUCAGGCUCGAGAGCCUGACCGAGGGUACUUGAAGAAAAAGCAUCGGCUAACUCCGUGCCAGCAGCCGCGGUAAUACGGAGGAUGCGAGCGUUAUCCGGAUUUAUUGGGUUUAAAGGGUGCGUAGGCGGACUGUUAAGUCAGCGGUAAAAGCCGGGGGCUCAACCCCGGCGAGCCGUUGAAACUGGCUGCCUUGAGAUGUCGAGAGGUAUGCGGAAUGCGCGGUGUAGCGGUGAAAUGCUUAGAUAUUGCGCAGAACUCCGAUUGCGAAGGCAGCAUGCCGGCGGCGAACUGACGCUGAGGCACGAAAGCGUGGGUAUCGAACAGGAUUAGAUACCCCGGUAGUC
RNAcentral lists this ribosomal RNA (459 nucleotides) under uncultured bacterium. RNAcentral describes it as "partial 16S ribosomal RNA". It matches the Rfam family "Bacterial small subunit ribosomal RNA", at positions 338 to 795 of the family's 1533-position model. The record is from RNAcentral.